GGGGCGUGGUGUAGUGGGAACACUCAGGUCCGCGGAACCUGCAUCACGGGUUCGAGUCCCGUCGCCUCCA
This 70-nucleotide transfer RNA is filed under the name Candidatus Coatesiibacteriota bacterium. Its description in RNAcentral is "Candidatus Coatesbacteria bacterium tRNA-Arg". It matches the Rfam family "tRNA". Rfam says of the family: Transfer RNA (tRNA) molecules are approximately 80 nucleotides in length. Their secondary structure includes four short double-helical elements and three loops (D, anti-codon, and T loops). Further hydrogen bonds mediate the characteristic L-shaped molecular structure. tRNAs have two regions of fundamental functional importance: the anti-codon, which is responsible for specific mRNA codon recognition, and the 3' end, to which the tRNAs corresponding amino acid is attached (by aminoacyl-tRNA synthetases). tRNAs cope with the degeneracy of the genetic code in two manners: having more than one tRNA (with a specific anti-codon) for a particular amino acid; and 'wobble' base-pairing, i.e. permitting non-standard base-pairing at the 3rd anti-codon position. Lineage: Bacteria; Candidatus Coatesiibacteriota. The record is from RNAcentral.